AUGGACGACGACCGCCGUCGCGUGUCUGCACGACUAGAAGAAUCUCCCGAGACACUUGUGUCAAAUUCUGAAUCUGCAGAAUUGCUGCAUCUGCUCAUUAGCAAGAUGUCCAUUGAAGAAAGGAAAAUAAGUUUGAUAAACAGGACGACUUCGUUAAAUCCUAAUGCGGUAGAAUUUGUUCCUUCAUGCCUUAGAUCUAUGAGUGAUGCUUCAAACAGAUCGGACACAACCAAGAUUCCUGUCUCAGAGUCCUCCAAGGAAAUCAGCGCAGACCAACCAGAGUCUGUACCAAGCAACCCUGAUGAAGAAGCACAUCGGUAUUGGCAACAACAGCUUCCAGAUGAUAUCACUCCUGAUUUCAACGUUCUUGGCCAAGAUGAGACUCCUGGACCUGACAGUCUUUCACUCACGGGCUUGUCAGUGAAUGAUGGCUUUGGUGCUUCACUAUUUUCUCCAAAGCAGACAUCAAGAAUGCAGCACCAUGCUUCUCCAUUUGUUAGGGACACGCUAAGUACACGAGGGAAGUUUGAAUUUCCUGGCCAAGAACAGCCGCAAGCUACUAUUAUGAGUCCCACUGCAAGUACUAUGAGUCCAACUGCUGCUCCAUGGGUAAAGACAGUAAGAAACGGUGGACAAUAUGGUACAAACAGAAGGGAUGCUAGUCACUACAAUGGAGAUUCUAGCAUUGGAUCCCCACUGCAGUCUGAUGCUUAUUACAGAAACCGGCGUAGCUUUAGGUCAAGUAUGGACAUCAUGACUCAGCUGGAGAAUAAAGUUGAUGGACGACUCAAUCAGAAUCUCAGGUCACUGUCAUUUGGACAUUCAAGUCCCCCAUCACCAGUAUCAUAUGCUCAAAAUGGUCUUGCCAACUAUAACAAAGAGGCUUUUGGUCUGCCGAACAGUCCAUACAGAUCUCAUUCAGCCAUACUCACAGAUGAUAUAAUUUCACCUUCAGCUGGCAGGGAACGUUUAUCCCUAGAUUCUCCGAGGGGGAGGUACAAGACAACUAAUUUGCCUGUUACUAGUCUUGGUUCAAGCAGAGGCUCUCAUCUGUUGGCUGGCUCAUACAACGGUAAUCAUGAUAUGAUCUCAAACAACACACUGCAAAACAUUGCUGGAGUUCAAACGGGACCAACUUGGCUCGACACAGAUGCUACGGCUAACAUGUUUUUGGAAAAGGAUGAAGUUCAUGAUUUUGCAAGUCUAAGACAAGCACUUCUUGAACAGCAGGAUAGGCAAGCUUUUCUAACUGGUGGCAAUCCUUUAGCAAAGGAACUAAAUAUUAAGGAGCUGUACUCUAUCCAAAGCAGAUUAGCUCAGGAGAAGGCUAGAGAAAAUAUAUAUCAACAGAGAUUCCAGAUGCCAGAGUUGCAAGGCCUCAUCCAGGAGCAGAAUCCCGCGAUCGAUCUUUGUGGUCUUCAUGCAAGUGAGGCUAUGCACGUCCUGAACAAUGAACUCAACAACCGGAGGAAGAUCGCCCGUUCCACGGGCCGCCGGCUCCAGGCCAUCAUUAUCUCUAACCCCCGUACCCCUGCGAGGUUGACCGCCGCCAUCGAGCAGUACCUCCUGGAGCACGGCCUUCAGUACACGCAGGCACAGCCGGGCCUCUUCCGCGUCCUGCUGCAGUGA
Molecule: ribosomal RNA, 1629 nt
Filed under: Triticum aestivum (bread wheat)
Lineage: Eukaryota; Viridiplantae; Streptophyta; Magnoliopsida; Poales; Poaceae
Description: partial small subunit ribosomal RNA
Source: RNAcentral